AUUGAACGCUGGCGGCAUGCCUUACACAUGCAAGUCGAACGGUAACAGGUCUUCGGAUGCUGACGAGUGGCGAACGGGUGAGUAAUACAUCGGAACGUGCCCGAUCGUGGGGGAUAACGAAGCGAAAGCUUUGCUAAUACCGCAUAAGAUCUAUGGAUGAAAGCAGGGGACCGCAAGGCCUUGCGCGAACGGAGCGGCCGAUGGCAGAUUAGGUAGUUGGUGGGAUAAAAGCUUACCAAGCCGACGAUCUGAGCUGGUCUGAAAGGACGACCAGCCACACUGGGACUGAGACACGGCCCAGACUCCUACGGGAGGCAGCAGUGGGGAAUUUUGGACAAUGGGCGAAAGCCUGAUCCAGCCAUGCCGCGUGCAGGAUGAAGGCCUUCGGGUUGUAAACUGCUUUUGUACGGAACGAAAAGACUCUUUCUAAUAAAGAGGGUCCAUGACGGUACCGUAAGAAUAAGCACCGGCUAACUACGUGCCAGCCGCCGCCGUAA
Molecule: ribosomal RNA, 497 nt
Filed under: uncultured bacterium
Lineage: Bacteria
Description: partial 16S ribosomal RNA
Rfam family: Bacterial small subunit ribosomal RNA
Source: RNAcentral